GUGCCAGCAGCAGCGGUAAUACGGGGGGGGCAAGCGUUGUUCGGAAUUACUGGGCGUAAAGGGCUCGUAGGCGGCCUGCUAAGUCGGACGUGAAAUCCCUUGGCUCAACUGAGGAACUGCGUCCGAGACUGGCGGGCUUGAGUUCGGGAGAGGGACGUGGAAUUCCAGGUGUAGCGGUGAAAUGCGUAGAGAUCGGGAAGAACAUCGGUGGCGAAGGCGGCCUGCUGGGCUGUUGCUGACGCUGAGGCACGAAAGCGUGGGUAGCAAACAGGAUUAGAUACCCUGGUAGUCCACGCCCUAAACGAUGCGAACUUGGUGUGCGCUCUUCAUCGGGUGCGUGCCGGAGCUAACGCGUUAAGUUCGCCGCCUGGGGAGUACGGCCGCAAGGUUGAAACUCAAAGGAAUUGGCGG
Molecule: ribosomal RNA, 411 nt
Filed under: uncultured bacterium
Lineage: Bacteria
Description: bacterial SSU rRNA
Rfam family: Bacterial small subunit ribosomal RNA
Source: RNAcentral